RNAcentral lists this ribosomal RNA (118 nucleotides) under Helianthus annuus (common sunflower). The record is from RNAcentral. Lineage: Eukaryota; Viridiplantae; Streptophyta; Magnoliopsida; Asterales; Asteraceae.
UGUUGCGAUCAUACCAGCACUAAUGCACCGGAUCCCAUCAGAACUCCGCAGUUAAGCGUGCUUGGGCGAGAGUAGUACUAGGAUGGUGACCCCCUGGGAAGUCCUCGUGUUGCAACCC